This 235-nucleotide unclassified non-coding RNA is filed under the name uncultured fungus. RNAcentral's name for it is "partial contains 5.8S ribosomal RNA, internal transcribed spacer 2, and large subunit ribosomal RNA". The stretch from base 1 to 52 matches the Rfam family "5.8S ribosomal RNA", at positions 103 to 154 of the family's 154-position model. The record is from RNAcentral. Lineage: Eukaryota; Fungi.
AACGCAACUUGCGCCCUUUGGUAUUCCGAAGGGCAUGCCUGUUUGAGUGUCAUAUAAACCUCAUCUCUACUGUUUUUCAUUAGACAUGUGGACUGGUGCUUUGGGCGUCUGCCGUUUACUCUGGCUCGCCUCAAAUGUUUAAGUGGAAUGCGUAAUAAGUCUUCGCAAACCUCCACUCUAAUACAAACUUUUAUAUUCUGACCUCAAAUCAGGUAGGACUACCCGCUGAACUUAA